GCAGGACUGGGUUGUGUGUUGGAGCUGGGAAGUACUUGGAUUAAAGGUUCAGAAGUAAAUUACCACAAAAAUGCAGAUGGAACCUGUAAUACUUGCUUCCACAUCAUUCAUCCAGCGGUUUGGGAGCUGCAGAUCAGCAUGUGAAAGACAGCAGUUAAAAUACAGAGCCCGUUCCUAUCUCCGCCACUCUGCACUGGUGUAAAUCAAGGCUAAGACUCAUGAACCCAAUGGAGUGUAAAAUUGAGCAAGACCUAAUGAAACAAGAAGUGGCUGUGAAGCUCAUCGGAAAAGAAAAUAAGCAUUCUCAUAGAAAUUGUGAGUCCUUUGCAAGGAGGAGAGAUGCACCUAUUGGGAUUGCUUAUCUGGGAGAAUUUGGCCUUUGUCCUCUCUCUGCUUGCUCAUCAGACACAUUGCCCAGCCUGUUGGCCACGUGCCUUAGCCAUGGUGCUGCUUGGGACCUGCAAAGCACUGGAGCAGAGCUGUGCUGCCCACCUGCAGCCUGCAUGCAGGGAUGCAAAAGGAGCAUUUAGUCAUCUAAUGCUAUAAUGUUGUGAGGAGCCAGGGCACACAGGCAAUGGCACUCAGCUCAUCCUGGAGAACCCUGCCUGCAGUGUCUCAUGCUGCUGGAAAGGAACUUUGCAGAAAUACCUAUGUGUUGUUAGAGCCAAUACAAAGGUAUAUCUGAUUGAUGAUUUAUUAUGGUCUGCUGGGUAAAUAACGCUGCUUAAGGAAACUAAAGUGCAAAUGAGAGUAGAUAUUUGACUGUUGAACUAGAAGAGAAUUGAGAUAUAGAUUAUAUAACAUUUGUUGCUUUUAAAAAAAAUUAAAUAAAUCAGCGACCAG
RNAcentral lists this long non-coding RNA (843 nucleotides) under Coturnix japonica (Japanese quail). RNAcentral describes it as "lncRNA (ENSCJPG00005018678.1)". Lineage: Eukaryota; Metazoa; Chordata; Aves; Galliformes; Phasianidae. The record is from RNAcentral.